GGGGUUGUGGCUCAGCGGCAGAGCGCUUGCCUCUCACAUAUGAGGCACUGGGUUCGAUCAUCAGCACCACA
RNAcentral lists this transfer RNA (71 nucleotides) under Marmota monax (woodchuck). RNAcentral describes it as "tRNA.Glu". Lineage: Eukaryota; Metazoa; Chordata; Mammalia; Rodentia; Sciuridae. The record is from RNAcentral.